This 253-nucleotide ribosomal RNA is filed under the name uncultured bacterium. RNAcentral describes it as "partial 16S ribosomal RNA". It matches the Rfam family "Bacterial small subunit ribosomal RNA", at positions 524 to 776 of the family's 1533-position model. The record is from RNAcentral.
GACGUAGGGCGCGAGCGUUGUCCGGAUUUAUUGGGCGUAAAGAGCUCGUAGGCGGCUUGUUGCGUCGACCGUGAAAACCCGGGGCUCAACUUCGGGCUUGCGGUCGAUACGGGCGGGCUAGAGUUCGGUAGGGGAGACUGGAAUUCCUGGUGUAGCGGUGAAAUGCGCAGAUAUCAGGAGGAACACCGGUGGCGAAGGCGGGUCUCUGGGACGGUACUGACGCUGAGACGCGAAAGCGUGGGGAGCGAACAGG